RNAcentral lists this long non-coding RNA (826 nucleotides) under Triticum aestivum (bread wheat). RNAcentral describes it as "long non-coding RNA (TAES_LNC012202)". The record is from RNAcentral. Lineage: Eukaryota; Viridiplantae; Streptophyta; Magnoliopsida; Poales; Poaceae.
UCCGACAAUGGAUCCAGGCACCCCCGGUCAGAUCGCGCCCCAAGUACCCGUGCAGGCGCCGCCAAGUUCGUGGUUCGCCGCCCCUCUGUCCCCCUCUUCCACCUCCCAUCCUCCAUUGCUGGAGCAGCACGGCCCAUGGGCGUGCACUGCAUUGUGACUCCUCAUGCAGUGCAGAUUGGGCAUCAGGUAGGAUUGCUGUUCGUUGUGGUGGCUACAUGCCACAGUGAUUUUUUUAGUCAUUUUGUAUUUCACUCGCUUGGGUGCAGCUCACGGGUGCAUCGUGUGCAGCUCGCUGGAUCGAUCUGGAGGUUCCCAUGGGCCUCCUCUCCCAACUGCAUCGCCCUUCCCCGCGGCCUACUGCAAGCAUGGCGAGUAGAGCAUCAGCAGAUGCAUAGUGCUCUUCUGCACUUCAUUGAUUUUUGUGCUUUUCUGAACAGAAAAAAGUGAAAAAUGAAGUCCGCUGUGGUUUGCUAUUGAGGUUCAGUUUACUUAUUUUUGCAUUAAAGGUGAAGUGAUGCAGUUCGGCUGGAUGGCCCGUUCCUCAAUUUUGUUGUUGUUGAAAACUGCACUUCAUUAGUUCAUUUUAAAAACUGCACUUCAUUACCAUGAUGGUUAGUUUUGUCUUAGUGAAAGUGUACCCCGUAGAAUUUUGUGCCGUUCGGCCGGUGGAGAGUGCAGAUAUUGUAUGGGUGUGUGGCUGUGUAAAACUAUCAGAAGUUGUGUAUGCUUUGUAGCUCACUUUGUUCUCUUGUGUUGUUCGCUAUAUAACUUUUCCCUAGUCCACUUGGCAAACACAAACAAGAACAUCUCAAAAGCAGCUCCCUUC